AAAGAAACGAAGGAGAGAUAAAACUGAAGAUCUCACAGUGAAACAGAAUGAUCUCUAUUCUGACGCGUCACAGAGAGUUUCAGUCCAUGACGAGCCUCUUUCUGAACCGGAUUCAGCCAAUGAUGCUCCAAAGAGAUUCAGAGGAAAAACUCCUGAAUCCAGAGAUACUGAGGAGAUCCAGUACGCAACUGUCCAUCAUCACAGAAAGAAAGAGACAAAGAGAGAAGAGGAGAAUGAAAACCAGUACGACAAUAUAAGAGUUCAUCAGCCUGAUGCUGCCGUGAGGCAAUCAGCUGUUGAAACUGUGGAAGACGCAUCAGUGAUCUACAGCAGCGUCAAAUGAGAGACAGACCGUCAUGAAGCCUGUGCUCAAUCGUUAAAUGAAAGAUUGUUUGAUAAUUGUAUAUUUGUGAAAUAAUUUACCCAUUGGUUCAUACCACAACCAACAUGUUCAACAUCCACAUUAAGUAAGACUCAUUUGUUCUCUUUGACUCUGUGUGAAAGAAUGAUGGUCAUUAUGUGCUGGAUUGGUGUAGUCUGUUUCUUAUUUGUUUUAGGGGUUUUUUUUGUUUUGUUUUGUGUGUGUGUGUGUGUGUGUGUGUG
Molecule: long non-coding RNA, 603 nt
Organism: Megalobrama amblycephala (Wuchang bream)
Lineage: Eukaryota; Metazoa; Chordata; Actinopteri; Cypriniformes; Xenocyprididae
Exons: 3
Source: RefSeq, a predicted model, not a curated record